CUAAAUCGGGAUUUUCUAAUAAAAAAAUCGUGAUAUGAUAUUAUUGCCAUAUCGCCCACCCCUACUGUCAGGGUACCUCUUGC
Long non-coding RNA from Stegastes partitus (bicolor damselfish), 83 nucleotides. RefSeq lists it as uncharacterized. The record is from RefSeq and is a predicted model, not a curated record. NCBI's taxonomy places the organism in Eukaryota, Metazoa, Chordata, Actinopteri, Pomacentridae. The transcript has 3 exons.